This 493-nucleotide ribosomal RNA is filed under the name uncultured bacterium. RNAcentral describes it as "partial 16S ribosomal RNA". It matches the Rfam family "Bacterial small subunit ribosomal RNA", at positions 29 to 507 of the family's 1533-position model. The record is from RNAcentral.
ACGCACGCUGGCGGCGUGCUUAACACCUGCAAGUCGAACGGAAAGGCCUGCUUUCCCUUGUGGAUUGCGGGUACUCGAGUGGCGAACGGGUGAGUAACACGUGAGUGAUCUGCCCCCAACUUGGGUAUAAGCCUGGGAAACUGGGUCUAAUUCCCGAUAGGACUGCAGGGUGGUGCCUGUGGUGGAAAACGAUUUUCUAGUGGUUGGGGAUGAGCUCGCGGCCUAUCAGCUUGUUGGUGGGGUAAUGGCCUACCAAGGCGGCGACGGGUAGCCGGCCUGAGAGGGUGGACGGCCACAUUGGGACUGAGAUACGGCCCAGACUCCUACGGGAGGCAGCAGUGGGGAAUAUUGCACAAUGGGCGGAAGCCUGAUGCAGCGACGCCGCGUGGGGGAUGACGGCCUUCGGGUGGUAAACUCCUUUCGACCGCGAGGAAGCCACCUGGUUGGAAGGGUGGUGACGGUAGUGGCAGAAGAAGCACCGGCUAACUACGUG